CGCGACCCCAGGUCAGGCGGGAUUACCCGCUGAAUUUAA
This 39-nucleotide ribosomal RNA is filed under the name Juglans californica. Its description in RNAcentral is "partial 26S ribosomal RNA". The record is from RNAcentral. Lineage: Eukaryota; Viridiplantae; Streptophyta; Magnoliopsida; Fagales; Juglandaceae. RNAcentral also lists the same sequence under 1 other name.